RNAcentral lists this ribosomal RNA (120 nucleotides) under Misgurnus anguillicaudatus (oriental weatherfish). The record is from RNAcentral. Lineage: Eukaryota; Metazoa; Chordata; Actinopteri; Cypriniformes; Cobitidae.
GCUUACGGCCACACCACCCUGAGCACGCCCGCUCUCGUCUGAUCUCGGAAGCCAAGCAGGGUCGUGCCUGGUUAGUACUUGGUUGGGAGACCGCCUGGGAAUACCAGGUGCUGUAAGCAU